UCUCUAGUGAUACACACCCACCAACAUCUAGUGUUUCUAUCGACGGAGGAAGUUCUGGUAGAGAUUGAAGCUCCCUGCAAUGAUGCAAGUCUAGAUGUCUCAGCAUUGUAAGAUUCUUGAUGCUUUUAGGCAAGGUCUCAAUGUGAGUGUGUCCUAGAUGUAACUUUUCAAGUUUGUGUUGAAGUCCAAUUGAUGAAGUUGUAGAGGGAUAGAGAACUAAGGGAGCUUAAAUGGGUAUUAUUGCUUUGAAGGCUUGUAAGGGAAAUGCAUCCCGUCAGAUCCAGUUUCUUAAGCUUUUUGAGAGAGAAAACAGAUGGAUGGACACUAGUCAACCCUACACAGAAACGGAGGUCUAUUACUGUAAGACUUGUGGCCUUUGAGAAGUCUGGGAGCUCUGUUAGGAGUGUGGAUGAAUGAAGUGUAAGGACAUUCAAAUUCAUAAGAUCCUGUUCCAUUUAGAACCAACCAAGACAAUACCCGUGAGCCAAUUGAUUCUGAAUUAAUCUGAAUGCUAAUGCUGGAAUAUAUAUUAUUUAAAUAAAAACUUGGACGGCAAGGAUUCCAAAGGGUAAUACUCCCAACGAAGAUAUCUCAGUUCAUCAGAACCAUUCAAUGGAAACGAUUGGUAUAGCUAAUCUGCAGAGAGCACUGCAUGCACUUGAUUCUGCGGUUACUCUCCCAAGUUCUUCUUGUAAUUCCACUGUUAAUAAUAAUUCUUUUGAAUUGUGGCACUUAAGAUUAGGCCAUGUUUCUGAUACAGGCUUGCAAGCCAUUUCUAAACGUUUUCCUUUCAUUCCUUGUAAAAAUAAUGUCUCCUUGUGACUCUUGUCACUUUGCUAAACAAAAUAAAUUACCUUUUCAAAACAAUGUAAGUGUUUCUUCUAUCCCUUUUGAAAUUUUACAUGCAGAUUAUGGGGCCCUUA
Molecule: non-coding RNA, 923 nt
Organism: Cicer arietinum (chickpea)
Lineage: Eukaryota; Viridiplantae; Streptophyta; Magnoliopsida; Fabales; Fabaceae
Source: RefSeq, a predicted model, not a curated record